Molecule: ribosomal RNA, 527 nt
Filed under: uncultured Actinomycetes bacterium
Lineage: Bacteria; Bacillati; Actinomycetota; Actinomycetes
Description: bacterial SSU rRNA
Rfam family: Bacterial small subunit ribosomal RNA
Source: RNAcentral
AGAGUUUGAUCCUGGCUCAGGACGAACGCUGGCGGCGCGCUUAACACAUGCAAGUCGAGCGAGAACCAUUCCUUCGGGAAUGGGGACAGCGGCGAACGGGUGAGUAACACGUGGGUAAUCUGCCCUCGAUUCUGGGAUAGCCCGGGGAAACCCGGAUUAAUACCGGAUAGCCUCUCGAGCUUACGAGCUCGCGAGAAAAGGUAGCUUCGGCCUCCGAUCGAGGAUGAGCCCGCGGCGGAUUAGCUUGUUGGUGGGGUAAUGGCCUACCAAGGCGACGAUCCGUAGCUGGUCUGAGAGGACGAUCAGCCACACUGGGACUGAGACACGGCCCAGACUCCUACGGGAGGCAGCAGUGGGGAAUCUUGCGCAAUGGGCGAAAGCCUGACGCAGCGACGCCGCGUGGGGGAAGAAGGCCUUCGGGUUGUAAACCUCUUUCAGCAGGGACGAAGCCACUCGGGUUAAUAGCCCAGAGGGUGACGGUACCUGCAGAAGAAGCCCCGGCUAACUACGUGCCAGCAGCCGCGGUA